AAUCGGAUGGUUUUGAUUAUUUACUCAGCCCCAGCUCGCAGGGUAAUCCACUUUGUUGAGUCGUAUAAGAUAUAUGAUUCCGAAUGUGGACAAAAGUUCAACAAAUCCAGCUGCUAAUUUGCGUCCACCGCUGUUUCGUGAUUUGGCUAACCAGCUGGGUUUCCCUCGUUGAUCCAACGUCUCUUUCCACCCACCACUGCCACGACUCCGUCACCGCCCAGGGCC
Molecule: long non-coding RNA, 225 nt
Filed under: Elaeis guineensis (African oil palm)
Lineage: Eukaryota; Viridiplantae; Streptophyta; Magnoliopsida; Arecales; Arecaceae
Description: long non-coding RNA (EGUI_LNC006349)
Source: RNAcentral